This 574-nucleotide long non-coding RNA is filed under the name Apteryx owenii (little spotted kiwi). RNAcentral's name for it is "lncRNA (ENSAOWG00000015938.1)". The record is from RNAcentral. Lineage: Eukaryota; Metazoa; Chordata; Aves; Apterygiformes; Apterygidae.
GGGUAUAACAUCAACUCAAGCCUUGGCAGUGGCAGUCUGGAUGAGGUGCAGCUGGUGGCAGUGGAUGCUGGGCAUCCUCAGGUUACUGGAUAUCUUCAGGAACCAUUAGUGUAGCACUGAAUAAAUUCACCUUCAGUCUGACUCUACCUGCAUUCGAUAAGUGAAAACUUUCUUUGUCUCACGGCCAACUAAUCUGUGCAAACCAAACUGAAGCUCUCAAUUCAGUUGCUGUUCACUGGGUGCUCAUGGCAUCAGUGGGACCGAUGCCAUGGCAGAGAGGACAAGAAGUUUAUGGACAUGGCUGUUCAAGAACCUCCCACUCUCAGAGCCCUCGGAGGUUUGCCGCCAGCCUUACUCAGAGGACAUUCCAGACCUGUCACUGCGCAGCUGCUCCUGGCAGCCAGCCCUCCACGCAAAGGCUUUGCCAAGGCACUGCUUCUCUGCACCCCCAAACACUCUGCUGAAACAAUGGUUAAUAGUUUUGCACUUGCACAACUGCUAGAUUUCCUUUUGCCUUAAAAAGGAUUUGUUUACUUCAGUUAUAAAAUGGUGUUGUGUUUUUGGCGUCGCUGGC